RNAcentral lists this ribosomal RNA (440 nucleotides) under uncultured bacterium. RNAcentral's name for it is "partial 16S ribosomal RNA". It matches the Rfam family "Bacterial small subunit ribosomal RNA", at positions 338 to 795 of the family's 1533-position model. The record is from RNAcentral.
CCUACGGGAGGCAGCAGUGGGGAAUAUUGCACAAUGGGGGAAACCCUGAUGCAGCAACGCCGCGUGAGUGAAGAAGUAUUUCGGUAUGUAAAGCUCUAUCAGCAGGGAAGAAGAUGACGGUACCUGAAUAAGAAGCCCCGGCUAACUACGUGCCAGCAGCCGCGGUAAUACGUAGGGGGCGAGCGUUAUCCGGAUUCACUGGGUGUAAAGGGAGCGUAGACGGCCAAGCAAGCCAGGGGUGAAAGCCCGGGGCCCAACCCCGGGACUGCCCUUGGAACUGGAUGGCUGGAGUGCGGGAGGGGCAGGCGGAAUGCGUGGUGUAGCGGUGAAAUGCGUAGAUAUCAGGAGGAACACCGGCGGCGAAGGCGGCCUGCUGGAGCGCGACUGACGUUGAGGCUCGAAAGCGUGGGGAGCGAACAGGAUUAGAUACCCUAGUAGUC